This 463-nucleotide ribosomal RNA is filed under the name uncultured bacterium. Its description in RNAcentral is "partial 16S ribosomal RNA". It matches the Rfam family "Bacterial small subunit ribosomal RNA", at positions 29 to 507 of the family's 1533-position model. The record is from RNAcentral.
AGUGAACGCUGGCGGCGUGCCUAAUACAUGCAAGUCGAACGAUGAAGUCCUAGCUUGCUAGGAUGGAUUAGUGGCGCACGGGUGAGUAAUAUAUAGUUAAUCUGCCCUACACAGAGGAACAACAGUUGGAAACGACUGCUAAUACCUCAUACUCCUAUUUGACGUAAGUUAAAUAGGGAAAGUCUUUUCGGUGUAGGAUGAGACUAUAUCGUAUCAGCUAGUUGGUAAGGUAAUGGCUUACCAAGGCUAUGACGCGUAACUGGUCUGAGAGGAUGAUCAGUCACAUUGGAACUGAGACACGGUCCAAACUCCUACGGGAGGCAGCAGUAAGGAAUAUUGCGCAAUGGGGGAAACCCUGACGCAGCAACGCCGCGUGGAGGAUGACACUUUUCGGAGCGUAAACUCCUUUUAUCAGGAAAGAAUAAUGACGGUACCUGAUGAAUAAGCACCGGCUAACUCCGUG